This 1251-nucleotide ribosomal RNA is filed under the name metagenome. Its description in RNAcentral is "bacterial LSU rRNA". It matches the Rfam family "Bacterial large subunit ribosomal RNA", at positions 1636 to 2876 of the family's 2925-position model. The record is from RNAcentral.
ACACGACCGUACCGCAAACCGACACUGGUGCGCGAGAUGAGUAUUCUAAGGCGCUUGAGAGAACUCAGGAGAAGGAACUCGGCAAAUUGACACCGUAACUUCGGAAGAAGGUGUGCCUUUAGUAGGUGAACCAUUUACUUGGGGAGCCCAAUGAGGCUGCAAAAAAUCGGUGGCUGCAACUGUUUAUUAAAAACACAGCACUCUGCUAAGACGAAAGUCGACGUAUAGGGUGUGACGCCUGCCCGGUGCUGGAAGAUUAAAUGAUGGGGUGCAAGCUCUUGAUUGAAGUCCCAGUAAACGGCGGCCGUAACUAUAACGGUCCUAAGGUAGCGAAAUUCCUUGUCGGGUAAGUUCCGACCUGCACGAAUGGCGUAAUGAUGGCCACACUGUCUCCUCCUGAGACUCAGCGAAGUUGAAAUGUUUGUGAUGAUGCAAUCUCCCCGCGGAAAGACGGAAAGACCCCAUGAACCUUUACUGUAGCUUUGUAUUGGACUUUGAACAGAUCUGUGUAGGAUAGGUGGGAGGCUUUGAAGUGUGGUCGCUAGAUCGCAUGGAGCCAACGUUGAAAUACCACCCUGGUGUGUUUGAGGUUCUAACCUAGGUCCAUUAUCUGGAUCGGGGACAGUGCAUGGUAGGCAGUUUGACUGGGGCGGUCUCCUCCCAAAGUGUAACGGAGGAGUUCGAAGGUACGCUAGGUACGGUCGGACAUCGUGCUAAUAGUGCAAUGGCAUAAGCGUGCUUAACUGCGAGACUGACAAGUCGAGCAGAUGCGAAAGCAGGACAUAGUGAUCCGGUGGUUCUGUAUGGAAGGGCCAUCGCUCAACGGAUAAAAGGUACUCUGGGGAUAACAGGCUGAUACCGCCCAAGAGUUCAUAUCGACGGCGGUGUUUGGCACCUCGAUGUCGGCUCAUCUCAUCCUGGGGCUGUAGCCGGUCCCAAGGGUAUGGCUGUUCGCCAUUUAAAGAGGUACGUGAGCUGGGUUUAAAACGUCGUGAGACAGUUUGGUCCCUAUCUUCCGUGGGCGCUGCAGAUUUGAGGAAGCCUGCUCCUAGUACGAGAGGACCGGAGUGGACGAACCUCUGGUGUAUCGGUUGUCACGCCAGUGGCAUUGCCGAGUAGCUAAGUUCGGAAGAGAUAACCGCUGAAAGCAUCUAAGCGGGAAACUCGUUUCAAGAUUAGAUCUGCCGGGGCCUUGAGCCCCCUAAAGAGUCGUUCAAGACCAGGACGUUGAUAGGUCAGGUGUGGAAGCCA